Non-coding RNA from Phascolarctos cinereus (koala), 248 nucleotides. The record is from RefSeq and is a predicted model, not a curated record. NCBI's taxonomy places the organism in Eukaryota, Metazoa, Chordata, Mammalia, Diprotodontia, Phascolarctidae.
GGCGGAGACACGUGCUGGAAGAGCGGCGGCGGCGGCUGGGGCGGCUGCGAAGAAGGCGGCGGCGGAGGGGGCGGCUGCGCCUGCGGGUUGUUAAAUAUGAAAAGCAGUUUUACUGAAGGAAGUUGCAACUUGGAAGAUGUUUAAUAGAACAUCACAAUCACCUGUAAAGUUAAUUGUGAUGCUGGGCUUUAUUUGAAUAAAAGUUUGUAAUAUUUGGUUCAAUGCUAGAUAAGCAGUCUUAAAUUUGG